AUAGUCUAAGUAACAUACAUACUAUAUGAUUAAUUAGUUAACGGGUGGGACAAUACAUAUACUACCAAUUAGUCUAAAAGAUAUUUUUGUUCAUCAUGUCAAUUGAGAAAUGUAGAUUCAUAAAUGAGUUACUUUUAUACAUUUACCCUAUAGUUUAUACCAAAUUAGACAUAGUGAAUCCAUAUAGUUAAAGGCUUAAAGCUAAAGCUUGAUCAAAAGUUGAAUGCUUGAUGAUUAAUUAGUUAUACCAAUUAAGGUUACAUAAAACUGUUGUUAUCUGUUUAGCUCACAAAAGAGGUGGGAUCACCGAAGUUAAAAGUCUGGUUACGAAUUUGAUUGAAUUUAAUAGUUAUUUUUAUUCAAAUAUUACAUUUGUAUUAAAUACAUAAAAUUAAAUUUAGAAUUCAGUUAUUCAUAAUACUUGAAAUCAUCUAUAGAAAAUUCAACAAAAUUAAAAAUGGCACAACCUUAGAAAGUAAAAAUGCAUUAUCUCACAAAGCUAAUCAAAGCCAAGAGAUAAGGAAUUGCAAGGCCACUUUAACUUUCAACCCCACAAAAUAUACAUUAUAAUUAUUCUUUAUCUCUACGCAUGCCAAGACAAGUCUUACAAUGCCAAAAACUAAGGAAGAUGAUAGAAAGUGACUCUGAAAAAAGCCUCUUAUUCUGGGCCAUUAUCAAGAAAGAAUCCUUCCAAGCUUUGCACAAGAAGGAUUCUCUCCACAUAUUCAGAAGGGAGUCAGAAUUUAAAGUUUAUAGAUUUUAAAAUUUAAUUUUUUUACGUUGUUACAAGGUUCAUUUUUACAUAUUCAAUGAAUUUUUUAGUAUAAAUUUAGAAUUUAAAUCAAAAUUACUAAGUUUUAGGCGUUUGGCCAAACCCCUAAUCAACACACUCUUUUCUUUUUAUUCUUUUAACUUUUCCCUCUCAAUAUUUAUAUAAAUUAAGUGUUGUUCUCAUGUCGAAAGGAAUAACGUUGAGCCACAGAAUAGGGGGCUAAAAAAGGAAGUGUGAACGAAUGGGUAUAAAUACUCUUUCAUUAUCUAUAAAGUAUAUGAUAUUAUUCGUUAGAUAUUAAUAAGGGUCAAGUUGUUCUUUAGCCUUUACAGGCUUUGAUGAGGUGGCCUAUGCAUGCUUUCUAUAGAUGGUUGCACUCCUCAAUUUUAUUUUGAAAAUUAAAAUUAAGAUGAUUUUUCUAUUAUAAACAUAAUUUUACUAAGUAAUUUUGAAUAAUUGAGUGAACAUAUUAGUAACACUCAAAACAUUUACCAUCUAUUCUAUGUAAAAAUAAGCUUAUUUAGUGCUUGGGAGGCAUGCAUGGAUAAAGCAGAGUUCAAAUAAGUCAGUUGGUGCAGUAUCAUGUAUAAACACAGGUUUUUAAUUAAGGCUAUUUUCUCAUUUUUUACAUUGAUAAAUCAAUUCUAAUGCACUAUACUAAAUUUUUACACGAAAAAGAAAGUUCUUAUUUUUUAAAAACAUUCUCAUUCUUUAAUAUUAUAUUAUUAUUACCAUUUAUUUUCAUAAAACAAAUCUUUUUCUUACAUAUUCAUUCUAUACAAGUCAUAUGCUUUUCUUACAUAAUCAUUUAAUAUAAAAUUAUUUUAUAGCAUAAUUUUUUAGAUAGGUAGUGAAAAUAAUUUUAAACUUGGCGUAACUUAUUAGUUUCGUCUCUGAACAAUCGAUAGUUGUAAAUUAAAAAUAUCUUUUACUUAACUAAUUAAACUUAAAUACACUCCCGAUAUGCAACAUGACAUAGCAAGUGGUUUCAAGUUAUUGUAGGAGCAUGAGACCCUUAAUAAAAAAUCGAGAGAAGUGUUGAAAGCACUCCUAAACUUGGCGAGAAUUCGUGAGUGUAUUUCAAUCAUGUUGCAUGAUUGAUGGUGUAUUUAACUUUACUUAGUCAAGUAAAAAUGUAUUUUUAAGACAGUCAGUAGUUCAGAAACAAAACAAAUAAAUCGCGUCAAGUUUAGUGAUAUUUUCGAGUUAAAAAUAUCGAAGCUGGAAGACAAGUUUGAAACAACCUCUUCUUUUAUAUCAUUGGAGUCUGAGAUUUCUACUCUUAAUUCACCUAUGCUAUCAUUUGAGAAAAUUAAAAUUUAUACAAAUUUCCUUCCUUUAUUUCUGAAUGGAUUCAUCACUAUUCGAGGUUCUAUAUUUGACAUUUUGAAAAAUUUCCCAAAUGAAAAACAUCUAUUUGAUAUCAGCUUCCAUAUUAUUCUUAAACGUUGGGCCUUAUCUACUUGAUAUCAGCUUAAUCAGGCCCAAAGUGAGAAUGAAUUUGUUAGGCCCAAAGUGAGAGUGAAUAUUGACACCCUACCUCAAGUUGGAGGACACGCAACUUGCCGAGAAGAUUAUGAUGAACAGGUCCUUUGUAAAAAUGUCGGCUAGUUGUGAAGUAGACCCGAACAUACGACAAUGAGAUGAGUUGUUGACGGACGAAGUGACAGUCCAGUUCGACGUGCUUCGUCCGUUCAUGAAAUACCGGAUUCUUCGCAAUGUGAAUGGCUGCAAGAUAUCCGAAUGAAGUGGCACCGGUAUUGAGAGGUCUUUGAACAGACGGACUAACCAGGUUAGCUCAACAACGACCCUUCUCAUUGAGCUAUAUUCGGCUUCAGCUGAACUAAGAGAGAUUGAAGAUCGUUUCUUCGAAUUUCAAUAAAUAGGAGAAGUUCCAAGAGUAUUGACUAACUGAUCUGCGUGAAUCUGGACAGGUACCCUAGUCGAAAUCACAGAAAGCUGUCAGCUUGAAAGAGGAAGAGGAUGGGAAAAAUAGACCAAGACCUGGAUCAUUAGCAAGUAACGCAACACCCGCAAAGCAGCAGUUAAGUGCGACUGACAAGGAUCCUGCAUAAAUUGACUUAGGUGCUGCACAGGCCUCGUAUUAGUCAGGUAGUUCAGUUUCCCCAAUAAGUGUCGAUAAAAAGUAGAAUAAGUGAUAGGCUCUCCAUGAUUAGCCAAAUAAUUUUAUAGUAAGAUCUAAUGGACAAGAAACAGGACUGAGAUGUAGAGAGUCAAAGUCUCUCAAAAGAUCUAAUCUGAACUUUCUUUGUGAAAUAAUCAGACCCUGAGGUUCACGAACAACUUCCGUUCCAAGAAAAAAAUGUAAAUCACUGAGAUCCUUAAUAUUGAAUUCUCUGUCUAAGAAACCUUUUAAAUUGUGUAAUUCUGCUUUACAAUUUCCUGUCAAAAGGAUAUCAUCCACAUAAAUAGCAACAAUAGAAAUUGAACUGCCUGAUUUUUUGAAGAAGAGUGAAUAAUCAUUCAAGGAAUGACGAAAUCCUUUAAAAUUAAGAGCAGCAGUCAACAUAGAAUACCACUGUCUGGAUGCUUGUUUAAGUCCAUAAAUGAACUUUUUAAGCAAACAGACAUGGUUAGAAGUAGGAGUUGAAACACCUCUUUAUAUAAAUCAUGCAGAAAUACAUUGUUAACAUCUAAUUGGAAAAUUCCUCUACCAUGUUUAACUGUUGUAGCUAAAAGACACCUGAUAGUAGUCAUCUUGACCACGGGUGAAAAAGUUUCAUUACAAUCCAUCCUUCUUUUUGAACAUCCCCUAUGAUAACCAAUCUAGCCUUUAGUCUUUCUAUAUACUGCCAUCAACAUGUUGUUUGACUUUAAAAACCCAUUUGGAAGGUAAAGAUCUUUUACCAGUAGGUAAGACAAUAAUAUCCCAAGUUUUGUUAAGCUCCAAAGCUGAAAGUUCAUUGUCCAUUGCUUUCUGCCAACCUGGAUGAUGUGCAGCCUGCAUAUGAAUUGAUAGGUUCUUGUAUACUAGAAAUGGAAUUGAGCAUUAUUUGAUUGGUAAAAGAUAAAUCACUAAAAGAUAAUUUGUUAUGAGUAACAGGACUCAAGAAGCAACUGGAAGAAACAUCUACAAAGUGGAAAGCAUCCAGGCAUAUGAUUCUAAAUAAGUAGGCUUCUUGUGGUUUCUAGUGGAUUACCUUAGAAGAGUCUUAAUAAUAGGUGAAGGAGUAGGAAUAUUAGAAGAUCAGUAGGUGAGGAAUCCUGAGAAUCAGAAAUAGGAGGAAUAGGAGGAUCAUGAGACACAUCCUCAGUAAUGUCACAAAUAUCAUCAGAAAUUAGAGCAUUAUCAGUAAGAUCAAAUUUAUAGUGAAAUGAAAAGGAAUAGACAAAUUAGGUAAAGAAUUAGAAGGAAAAUAAUUGGUAGAAGGCACAUAUUUAGAAAAAGAAAAAUAUUCUUCAUGAAAAACAACAUUCUUGAAACUGAUAUAUAUUCUUAGUUUGAAGAUUCAUGACCUUGUAACCCUUUUUUCCAUAAGGAUAUUCAAUAAAGACACAAGGACAAGCAUUUAGAUCAAACUUACUUCUAUGAAUAGGUAAAGUAGACACAAAACAAAGACAUCCAAAACAUUUUAAGUGAGAGUAAAUAGUCUUAGUUUUAAAGAAGAUUUCAAAAAGUGUUUUGAAUCGCAAGACACUAGAAGGAAAUUUGUUGAUGAGAUAAGUUGAUGUGAGUAAGCAUUCUCUCCAAUAGCUAAUAGGAAGAUGAGACUGAUAUAAAAGGGCUCUAGAGGUUUCCAACAAAUGUUUGUGUUUUCUUUCUACAAUACCAUUUUGUUGAGGAGUGUGAACACAAGUGGUUUGAUGGACAAUUCCCUUGAAAAUGAGAAAAUCACUUUAUACUUUACCACUAUCCAAUUCAAGGCAUUAUCAGUUCUGAUUUUUUUUUUUUUGAAUUGAAUUGCCUUUCGACCAUAUGAUUGAAAGAUUCAAUGAUAGUAAAAAUAUUAGAUUUAGUGCUAAGAAGAUAUGUCCAUGUUGCUCUACUAAAAUCAUCUAUAAUGAUAGUGAAAUAUCUAAAACCAUUGUGAGUACUAGUUUUAUAAGACCCCCAAGAACAUAAAUAAACUCAAAAACAGAGGUAGUAGAAAUAUUGCUAGAAGGGAAAGGUAACUUUGACUGUCUAGCCAUAGGAUAGAUAAUACAAGGGGAAGAAAAUUUAGAACAAGAUGUAGAAAUAGGAAAAACUUUUUUCAUAUUACUCAUUGACAUGUGGCCUAAUCUAUAGUGCCACAUCUUUUCUUUUACAUUGGAAUCAAAAUAACUGGAAGAAGAAGUAAAAACAUCUGCUAGAAAAGUAGAAAAAGUAAAACUAUUAAAUUUUGAAAUGGUAGUAUUGCUUGUGGCAACAGUUGGAUCACUGCUCUUAAGAAUAUAUAAACCUUCUUGUUCUUUACCAAGUACCUGAGGGCUUUUCACCGAAGGGCCCUGCAAAUCUAGCAAGAAUUAGGAGUGAAAAGAAUAGAUUUCUGAAGUUAUCAGCACAACUUAAAAGAAGAAAUAUAGAGCACAUUUUCUUGAAUAAGAUCAGAAAAGAUUUUAACAGAACCUGUACGAGUGACACUGACUUUAUGAGAAUUAGGAAGAGUGACACUCAUAGGUGCAGUAAGAGGAUUAAUAGUAAGAGGAUUAAUGUUAGUGAAGUAACCUUUAUCAGAAGUAAUAUGCUUUGAAGCUCCACUAUUUAGUAUCCAACAACAUUUAUCAAUUUUAAGUAGACAAACAUGAGAUUCAAGAGAUUUAGUUAUACCAGAUGAUAUUAUAUUUGUAGAUGAUUCAGCUGGAUUCUUUUGAUUCAUCUUUUGCAGUAGUGUUAAUAGUUGACUAACAUUUUCUGGUGACAGACUGUUCAAAAAUGCAUGAUCUGAAUUUUCCUAUUGUGAUGCUUCACUUGUGCUAAAAACAUUUCCAGCAACAAGUACCUUUUGAUAUCUUUUAGGUUUAGUAAACUUAAAAUCAGAACCCAUGGAUCUUGUAACAUUGCUCUAUGGUGUGUCCUGUUUUCUUACAGUAACUACACACCAAUGAAGAUUUCUUGGUUCCUUUGUUAGGCUUAUACUCAUUGUUUCUCCUUUCACCUCUAUUCCCUACUAGAAAGGAUGCUGAAUCUCUUGAUAAGCAGGAUUAGCAUGGAUCUUUCUUUGUUUUUCAUCCUGAAUUACUAGAGAGUAAGCUUGUCCAAUUGUAGGUAAAUGUGCAAAUAACAAGAUAUUGCUUCUGACACCUAAGAAAGUAUCAGUCGAACCCAUUAAAAACUGUAGUAGUCUUUCAUCUUGAUGAGCCUUAAAGCCCUUUUCCUUAGCACCACAGAUACAAAUACAAGAAAAAGCAGAAAAAGUGCUUAAAACAUCUAGUUCAUCCCAUAAACUUUUCAUCUUAGUAAAGUAAGCAGAUGGAAUUUCCUUGAACAACAGUAUUAAGUUCCUUUUGAAGUUGAAACAACUUAGCACCAUUUGCUUGACCAAAUCUACCUUCUAGAUUUGACCACAAAACUUUGGCACUUUGAGAGUACAAAACUGACUCAACAAUCUCUUUUGAAAGAGAAUUUAGCAACCAAGAUAGUACCAUGUCAUUGCAUCUUAACCAAGCUCUUUUCAUUUUCAGGUCUUUAUCAGCUGGAACAUCUAGAGAUCCAUCAAUGAAUCCUAGUUUGUUCUGAGCAAUAAUCACAGCCCUUCUCCAGCCACCAUAGUUUCUACCAUCAAAGACAGUAGAAACAAGGUUCAUGCCUGGGAUAUCUGAAGGAUGAAUGCAGAAAGCAUGUGAAACAUGUACUGAUUUAUUUACAACAGCUACUUCAAAAAUUUCAGUAGUUUGUGAAAGGAGAAUCUGAACAUGAGUCAUUUUUCAAAAAAUGGAAGGAAGAGUGAAGACUAUGGAGAAGAAGAUAGGAUCAUUUUUCAAAGUGAGAGUGAAUAUUGACAUUAUUUCCUAACUUUAUCAUUAUUUUCAUUAAAUUUUGAUGAGGAUGUUUCAGGUGAUUCUACAAACAUGAAGAAAGAAAAAUCAAUGAAGGCUCUGAAAUUGUCUAAUAAAAAAAUAAUCUAUGUAACUAAUACUCAGAAAUCAGAAUUAUUGUUGGUUUCAAAUGAAUUCUUAACUUUACAUAUUAUUAUGUUUGUCACGAGUUAAACUAUCGAGUCGUGCAAACACCUACUCGAACUCAUAGAUGGGAGAAACUUUACCACCAGAUUUGAAAUUGAUAAUGCGAAAGUAAUAACAUAUCAACUUACGAACUAAUUUAGAAAAUACAAAAUUGCUCUCAACCUUGAUAUAAAUAAAAGUACUUUAGUAAAAUGCAUGAACCUCUUUCUAGGAACUAGUGUAAACAUGUUGAAGAGCUUCUAAGAGAAUACCAAACAUUAAAACAAGACAUAUCUCCCACUAAAAAAAAGGAGUAAAAUAUGUUGUAUUCACCCAAAGAAACAUCAUUGACCCUACUACAACCAAACUAUAAGCGAUCUCAUAAUAAAGUCAAACACAAUAGUUAUCUUUUAGUCUUUUGAGUUGAAAUAAUCAUUAUUAUUCAUGAAUAAUCAUCAUGUAAUUUGAUAUAUAUCAUGAGGAAACUACACUUCAUAAAUAUAUUGAUAUUUUAUCAUACUCAUACAAUUGAUCGUAUGAAUCACCAAGAAAACAUGAGUUUUAAGUCAUAUGGAAAAGGGUUGAUAUAAUUUGCAAAAUAAAAGCCAUCUUCCCUAACCAACCAAUAACAUAUAUUACCACGACCUUUACACUUGUCUGAAUCACUUUCAAAAACAUAAAAGGUUUUGGUCUUAGUAACCCAAACAAAUUCACACUUGAACCGAGUUGUCUGCCAAAAAUUCUCACGAAAAUGCCAAUGAUAACCCUCAGGCCCAGGAUUAAGAAAAUGAGUUCCUAAAUCAUUGUCUUUGGACCAACAAUGGACAAACAAAGGAUUUGUUCCAUUAGGGAGGUCACUUACAAUCCAAAUUUGAUAACGAGUUAAAGGACCCUCGGUAGAAGGAGUAGCAACAAUUCCACUCAAGGACAAGAUAAACAAAAAUGAAAUGAUUAAAAUUGUGAUGUAAGAAUUCAUGUUGAGAAAAAAAAAUAUUAUUUUUCUCUUUUGUAGUUUAAUGAUAAAAGGCUAUUUAUAGUUUCUUGGAAUUAGAUUACAUAACAUAUGGUCAAGAUAUAGUGUGGAGUUAAUUUGUCAAAGGUCAUUCAAUUUGUAGAAAUAUCUCACAUUUGAAUUUUUCUUGUCAAUUUGGUAUUAAAUUAUGCCCAUAUUUUCAUCAAAGUUAAAACUAAGAAAAAGAAUUCAAAAG
RNAcentral lists this long non-coding RNA (8085 nucleotides) under Solanum lycopersicum (tomato). Its description in RNAcentral is "long non-coding RNA (SLYC_LNC000062)". Lineage: Eukaryota; Viridiplantae; Streptophyta; Magnoliopsida; Solanales; Solanaceae. The record is from RNAcentral.